ACUGAACGCUGGCGGAAUGCUUUACACAUGCAAGUCGAACGGCAGCACGGACUUCGGUCUGGUGGCGAGUGGCGAACGGGUGAGUAACAUAUCGGAACGUAUCCAAUAAUGGGGGAUAACGAGUCGAAAGAUUCGCUAAUACCGCAUACGCCCUACGGGGGAAAGCUGGGGACCUUCGGGCCUGGCGUUAAUGGAGCGGCCGAUAUCUGAUUAGCUAGUUGGUGAGGUAAAGGCUCACCAAGGCGACGAUCAGUAGCUGGUAUGAGAGGACGACCAGCCACACUGGAACUGAGACACGGUCCAGACUCCUACGGGAGGCAGCAGUGGGGAAUUUUGGACAAUGGGCGCAAGCCUGAUCCAGCCAUUCCGCGUGAGUGAAGAAGGCCUUCGGGUUGUAAAGCUCUUUCGCAAGGGAAGAAAACUUAGCCACUAACAUUGGUUGAGGUUGACGGUACCUUGAUAAGAAGCACCGGCUAACUACGUGCCAGCCGCCGCGGUAA
This 500-nucleotide ribosomal RNA is filed under the name uncultured bacterium. RNAcentral describes it as "partial 16S ribosomal RNA". It matches the Rfam family "Bacterial small subunit ribosomal RNA", at positions 30 to 523 of the family's 1533-position model. The record is from RNAcentral.